CCAAACCGUUUAGUUAAGGCAUUUUUUAACAGCAACCAAAUAUCUUGUUUUCCAUAACAAAAUAUUUAGUUACUUCUGCUAAAUACACUUUUCUGAUUUGUUCUGUGGACCAAAUGAUUUUGUUCUUAGACCUCACAUACAACAAUUAAGCAUUUUAGUUACUUUACCCGCAGAAACUACAUAAUAAUGAAAUCUUCUGUUACAUAAGUUAAAAUAAUGCCCAAUAAGUACAAUUUCGUCUUUCUAUGCAUUAAAAUUUAGAUUUUAUACACUAUUUUAUAUAUUAACAAAACAUUAUAGUAGUUUUAACAAAACUGCCUUGUUCUUCUAGCCAAAUGAUUUGGUAUAUUUUAUACACAAGAGCGCCGUGUAGGUACGUGCUGCUGGAAACAAACGGUAUCAGAUGUGGUUAGCCCGCGUUUCUGCAUGCCAUUUUGUUUUUCUUCUGGCUCUGCGUGAUGCCUAUUGUUGUGAGACUUAUAAGUGAGACUUAUUGUUGUGAGAUUCAUAACUUCAUGUACGUGCAGUGAGAUCGUUUCGUGUUUAAUGAAAACAUCUUCGUAAGUAUGAGUUUCAUGAUAAUUACUGGAUGCAUGUGACAUUAUCGGUAUAUCCAAAAGAGUUUAUACCGUGUCCUUUGUGAAAUUGUUUCUGUUUGAAAAAUAGUGCGCUCGUGAAGCAAUCCCGGAUAGCGACAGCGACAGCGACGCGGCGAGGGGGGCCGCGAGCCCGCGCGAUCGUCUUUCGUUUUACCGGCUCGAUCGAGACACGAUUCUCGCGCGUAAAAUUGCGGAGUCGGUCGGAACACGCAAAAGCGACAACACGCGAGAUCUGGUCUCUGCUUUCUUUAUUCGAGCUUGCGAUAUCUUAUAUCAGUCGAUACAGUGAUCUUUCGUUUCUAAGUACAUUCGGCAGUACGAUUAAGAACGUUGUUUAAUAGUUACGGUGAUUAACGUAUACGGUAAUUAACGUAUACGGUGCGCGACAUUCGUCGAGCGAACUUAGUGCGGGCCAGCGAGGCUGAGCGAGGCCUCGGCGUUGCAGCCCCACGUCGGGCACCAGCAUCUAGGAGACAGGACCUUCCUCGGUGACGGACUCGGACAGAGCAUCCCGUGCUAGGAUCCCUUGUCGUCAUCGUCCUUGACGAUCUGGCAACGAACGGUUGUUCUUCUGCGAUACAAACCUGGAAGGUGAACUGAGCGUUGUGUGCCUUUUUCCGUAUUAUUCUGAUUUUUUCAACUGUAUGCAACGUAGCAUAAAAUGAGCGACGAAGAAUUUAUUACUAAAACAUUAAAAGAAUGGGGUCUGGAAAAGUGGACAUCAAAAUUUUUGGACCAAGAAAUAAGCCCUUCAUUAUUGUUAAGUAUUUCGGAACAAACAUUAUUUGAAUUAAUACCUACCGUUGGUGCAAGAUGUGUUUUUAUAGAGAAAAGGAAACAGUUUUUAAAAGAACAGUCAACAAAGGUUAGAAGGAAUAAAAUUAAUAAUAAAGAUAAUAGUAUGUGUAAUUACUAAGGUAUGUCAGUUUAGAGCAACUUUUUUUUUAUUUCACAAAUAGCAUAUAUACUUGCAGGAAGGUAAA
Temnothorax curvispinosus is the source of this 1582-nucleotide long non-coding RNA. RefSeq lists it as uncharacterized. The transcript is spliced from 3 exons. Lineage: Eukaryota; Metazoa; Arthropoda; Insecta; Hymenoptera; Formicidae. The record is from RefSeq and is a predicted model, not a curated record.